Molecule: transfer RNA, 73 nt
Filed under: Aliivibrio fischeri
Lineage: Bacteria; Pseudomonadati; Pseudomonadota; Gammaproteobacteria; Vibrionales; Vibrionaceae
Description: tRNA-Ala
Rfam family: tRNA
About the family: Transfer RNA (tRNA) molecules are approximately 80 nucleotides in length.
Source: RNAcentral
GGGGCUAUAGCUCAGCUGGGAGAGCGCCUGCCUUGCACGCAGGAGGUCUGCGGUUCGAUCCCGCAUAGCUUCG